RNAcentral lists this ribosomal RNA (528 nucleotides) under Nassarius niger. Its description in RNAcentral is "partial 16S ribosomal RNA". It matches the Rfam family "Bacterial large subunit ribosomal RNA", at positions 1808 to 2603 of the family's 2925-position model. Lineage: Eukaryota; Metazoa; Mollusca; Gastropoda; Neogastropoda; Nassariidae. The record is from RNAcentral.
CAAAAACAUGGCUCCUUGAAUCUAAAUAAUAAGGAGUCGGACCUGCCCAGUGAAUUUUUAACGGCCGCGGUACUCUGACCGUGCAAAGGUAGCAUAAUCAUUUGCCUUAUAAUUGAAGGCUAGUAUGAAUGGUUUGACAAGAAUGAAGCUGUCUCUUUAUAAUUUUAUAGAAUUUUAUUUUUAGGUGAAGAAGCCUAAAUAAGAUUAAAAGACAAGAAGACCCUAUCGAGCUUGAAAAAAGUUAGUAGGAUUGAUUAAUUAAUAUUUAUUAAAAAAUUAUCUAUUAUAUAUUUUAGUUGGGGCGACUAAGGAACAUUUAAAGCUUCCUUUAUAAACUAAUAAAAUCGAACUAGAGUUGAUCCAAAAUUUUUUGAUUAAAGGAAUUAGUUACCGUAGGGAUAACAGCAUUAUCUUUUUUAAGAGCUCAUAUCGAAAAAAAGGUUUGUGACCUCGAUGUUGGACCAGAAUAUCCUAAAGGUGCAGCAGUCUUUAAGGGUUGGUCUGUUCGACCAUUAAAAUUCUACGUGA